This 497-nucleotide ribosomal RNA is filed under the name uncultured bacterium. RNAcentral describes it as "partial 16S ribosomal RNA". It matches the Rfam family "Bacterial small subunit ribosomal RNA", at positions 28 to 507 of the family's 1533-position model. The record is from RNAcentral.
GAUGAACGCUGGCGGCGUGCCUAAUACAUGCAAGUCGAGCGAACAGACGAGGCGCUUGCUCCUCUGACGUUAGCGGCGGACGGGUGAGUAACACGUGGAUAACCUACCUAUAAGACUGGGAUAACUUCGGGAAACCGGCGCUAAUACCGGAUAAUAUAUUGCACCGCAUGGUUCAAUAGUGAAAGACGGUUUUGCUGUCACUUAUAGAUGGAUCCGCGCCGCAUUAGCUAGUUGGUAAGGUAACGGCUUACCAAGGCAACGAUGCGUAGCCGACCUGAGAGGGUGAUCGGCCACACUGGAACUGAGACACGGUCCAGACUCCUACGGGAGGCAGCAGUAGGGAAUCUGAGGCAAUAGGCGAAAGCCUGACGGAACAACGCCGCGUGAGUGAUGAAGGUCUUCGGAUCGUAAAACUCUGUUAUGAGGGAAGAACAAAUGUGGAAGUAACUAUGCACGGCUUGACGGUACCUAAUCAGAAAGCCACGGCUAACUACGUG